Molecule: long non-coding RNA, 1492 nt
Filed under: Lepisosteus oculatus (spotted gar)
Lineage: Eukaryota; Metazoa; Chordata; Actinopteri; Semionotiformes; Lepisosteidae
Description: lncRNA (ENSLOCG00000022137.1)
Source: RNAcentral
UUUCAGCAUAAAACAUUUAUUUGUAAAAUAUAUUUGCAUAACUAGAAAAUGUGCAAGGUAAAUUAAUACUAAUUCCACAUAUACUGCAUAUAUAUAUACAUUAUAUUGCAAACAGCUACAAAGUGCUUCACAUAUACUGUAGAAUCCAGCACGUCCACCACUGAUGUACAGCCCACAUGGGUAAACGUGCAAAUUGUGCAAAAGAGCAAGCUUUAGUUAUAAACUCAAAAACUAAUGUUUGACUUCACAGCUUGGUAAAUAUUGGAGUCAAUCAGGCAGAUGGUCACAGACUUGUUUUUCAAAUGUAACUUGUGUUUCUGGUUCAGGUCACAUCUCUUAAACACUCCUCCUAAUUCAGCGCUUGUGUUCAUCACUGCGUGGCAGCAGUGACAGACUUCACUGGUUCAAGCUGUAAGUCUGGAGUCCAGGUGAUCCAUGUGUUUUCUCACCCAGUGCACGCUGGGGUCAGCACAGAUUCUCUUUCCAUUCUUUAUCUCAAACCUGAAAGAAAUGCAUUAAGAAUGAAAUUAUCAGGCUGUCUUCUAUUGACCAAACUGGGUUUAAGGCAGAGAUUUUAUUUUUUAAAAUUUUAAUUUUGCACAUUUAUCACAGAGGCGAGAUUUGUUCAACAGUAUAUAAGUGCACAUACAAUGAGAUACAUUAACGGUAUUGUUUGACUGUGCUAUUUCACCAAUAAGGAGCAAGAGAUCAGUGAUACAGAGUCUCUCUGUAUUUGUAUCUUUGCAACUUUGCUCCUAUUUGUUUGUAUUGUACUUACAGGGUUGUACAGUUGUAACAUUCACAAACAUUACUGUACUUGAACAGAAAGUUAUAGCUGCUAUAUUGGUAUGUCACCUGAUUGAAGCAGGGGAAAGACUACAUUUUUAAUCAUUAUACAUCUAUCUUCAUCUUAUACAGUACAUCCCUAGCCUAACUAAUUACUUAAAAUAAAAACAUUUCUCAUUAUCAGUCAAAACUUACACUACAGCGUUUGUGAGGCAGCAGCUGCUGGUUCUCCAGUAGGAGCUGAUUAAUUUCUUUGGGAUUUUGUGCUUUGUGAACCUGAUGCAGCAAACCUGUCCAGUGCAAGGGGCUUCAUCUGCAACAAAGUGGCAAAAAGAUAGAAGUCAACAUGCAGUAAUGGGAAGCACUCCAUGGAAGUACAGUUAAAGCAGAGAAUAGGAAACACAUCUUCACACAAAGGAAUAUGGGAGUCUGGAAGAUACACUGAUACCCUGGCUUCUUUCUAUCCUCAAGUUCCACAGAUCAAUUAAGUACAACCAACCAAAUGAUCAAGUGGAUAUAUAGGACUUCCAACAUGGCUGCCUUAUGACACAGCAGAACAGGUGAGGAGCAUCAGGAAUCGAAUUAAGGAGGAACUUCUGGGAGGCCAGAUUGUACAAGCCCAGAGUGAAUUUACCCAGAACAGCAAGGUUCACACUCUUUCUCUUGCAACAAGGAAAUGCGAUCUUUCAUGACCAAGCAAUUACAU